RNAcentral lists this ribosomal RNA (446 nucleotides) under uncultured bacterium. RNAcentral's name for it is "partial 16S ribosomal RNA". It matches the Rfam family "Bacterial small subunit ribosomal RNA", at positions 338 to 795 of the family's 1533-position model. The record is from RNAcentral.
CCUACGGGAGACAGCAGUAGAGAAUCAUUCACAAUGGGGGAAACCCUGAUGGUGCGACGCCGCGUGGGGGAAUGAAGGUCUUCGGUUUGUAAACUCCUGUCAUGUGGGAGCAAAUUAAAAAGAUAGUACCACAAGAGGAAGAGGCGGCUAACUCUGUGACCGCAGCCGCGGUAAUACAGAGGUCUCAAGCGUGGUUCGGAAUCACUGGGCGUAAAGCGUGCGUAGGCUGUUUCGUAAGUCGUGUGUGAAAGGCGCGGGCUCAAGCCGCGGACGGCACAUGAAACUGGGAGACUAGAGUAAUGGAGGGGGAACCGGAAUUCUCGGUGUAGCAGUGAAAUGCGUAGAUAUCGGGAGGAACACUCGUGGCGAAGGCGGGUUCCUGGACAUUAACUGACGCUGAGGUACGAAGGCGAGGGGAGCGAAAGGGAUUAGAUACCCUAGUAGUC